CUACGGGGGGCACCAGUGAGGAAUAUUGCACAAUGGAGGAAACUCUGAUGCAGCAACGCCGCGUGGAGGAUGACGCAUUUCGGUGUGUAAACUCCUUUUAUGAGUCAAGAAAAUGACGGUAGCUCAUGAAUAAGCACCGGCUAACUCCGUGCCAGCAGCCGCGGUAAUACGGAGGGUGCAAGCGUUACUCGGAAUCACUGGGCGUAAAGGACGCGUAGGCGGGAUAUCAAGUCAGGUGUGAAAUCCUACAGCUUAACUGUAGAACUGCACUUGAAACUGGUAACCUAGAGUAUGGGAGGGGGAGAUGGAAUUAGUGGUGUAGGGGUAAAAUCCGUAGAUAUCACUAGGAAUACCUAAAGCGAAGGCGAUCUCCUGGAACAUAACUGACGCUAAGGCGUGAAAGCGUGGGGAGCAAACAGGAUUAGAUACCCCUGUAGUC
Molecule: ribosomal RNA, 439 nt
Filed under: uncultured bacterium
Lineage: Bacteria
Description: partial 16S ribosomal RNA
Rfam family: Bacterial small subunit ribosomal RNA
Source: RNAcentral